UUGUCUUGUCUCGUCCAGGUGUUCCUCGUUGUCACAUCAAUUAGCUUGAAUUCAGUUUCCUGAGCUCUGUCAGUCUUGUUGUGUUACUGCGAUGUUUUGUUUCUAUUGCAGUCGUGUUUUGUUUCCCGUAGUGGUUGGUGUUUUAGUUCCUGGUGUUUUGUUGUUACUUUGAAUUUUGAUCUUUUCAAGGCUUUGUUAAUGCGCUCCCAUUUCGUUUUUCCAGUGUUUUGUUCAUACAUUUUGUUCAGUCCACCCUGCUUAUCCUGCCUGCCUGCUCUACCACCACGCUACAUGACCGUAUCAAUGUUCAGUGUGCGCUCAACUUGGAGAGGAAGGCGCCGUCGGGUUGGCCUCGACAUCCCCUUCUUUUGGGGGGGGGGAUGUUUGCACGACCUGACUCCAGCUCCCUUGCCUCGGAGAGAUUGCGGCCUGUGUGCUUUGGAUUCUCCCAAGUUGCUCCUGCCAAGCAAGUCUGAAGUCUGAAGCAUGAGGCUAAGAGGAAGAGAAGGAUAGUAGCAAUCAUGGGAACACCUACUGUAUCUCUGUGUGAUCUCAUCCAACGUCAGUCUGGAAGCGUUUAUGUGGGAAUUUGCCCUGCAAAUUGAAGCAGCAACAGAAGUUGUCGUCCAGAAGAUUUUCACACCGUCGACACAACGUCAAAACAAUGGUUGACUGGGAGAAAAUUAAACAAACUAGUCCUGGGGGAGCAAUUCAAGAUGGCUGCCACCUGCGUGUCAAGGUUUCAGGUGAGUCAUCCUGUCAAGACAAUCACUGAGCCUCAAUUUCUUUUUGAAUUACACUAAGGGAUUGAUUAAGGACAAAUUUAGUCAGUUCAGAUUAAAUUUAAUACUACAUUUGAAUCAGCACCCAAAUUAGUAAAGUGUGCGCUCACGGUGAACGAUUUUUUUCUCAGAACACUCUCAAGAUAAAUGUUUUUGCUCAAUAUUGCGAUUGCAAUUUAGUAUGCAAGCUUUUUUUUCCACAGUUUUCUUCCCAUGUAUUUCUGAACCAUCGCAAACGAUAAAUUCAUCUGUAUUACAACAAACAAAAUCAGAUUUAUGAUGCCAAAAUAUUUUGGGUUUGACUGGUUUUGGCUCUCGCUAAUAUAAAGACAAAUGAACCAUGAAUCAAUAUGAACGUUUAUUUCUCUACUUCAAAGUUUGAUUUGCAUUCACAAAAGCAACUUCGUAAAAUUCGACCAGACAAGAGAUUUAUCAGUCCGAUAACAAAAAUAAUGCAACGUUUCAAGAUUCAUGAAACUCGGGCUUCCAGUGUGUGUUCAACCUGAUGAACGACGCCAGUUGUCCUGUGGAUAAAACACCAUUUAAAAUGUUUUUUAACUGUAUAUUCAUCAAUACACUCAGACCUAAAAUGUUUCAGUUGUGAACAUUUAUUAUACCGAAAAUAAUCUACCUGUGGUUGUGUGUAUAAGCAUAAACCUGUAUCAAAUAUGUUUAACUUUUUUGUUGUUGUUUAUUGCAAAUAGACAUAUUAAUUCGUUUUAUUUUUUAAAAAAAAGUUUGUAAAGUUUGUCGAUUGAUGGUUGCUGUUGUCAUCUGUUCAGUAUAGCUGGACAUAUGUAUCAAGUAUUGAAGCAAAUUGACAAACGAUGUGGCUCUGAUUCUUGAUGGGUUGCAGUCACAGGCAAAAUGCUUUCAGCAGACGUCCUGCUGAUUCACCCGAAACCAAUUUGCAACGCAAAGGAUGGUACGGCAAGUAGAGAAAGAAGUCAGGAAGUCUAUCUAGGCACGCACACCGUCAUGAAUGAACAUAUACUCUGCGUGUAUGUGCGUGUGUCUAUGUGUGUGUGUGUGUGUGUGUGUGUGUGUGUGUGUGUGUGUGUGUGUGUGUGUGUGUGUGUGUGUGUGUGUGUGUGUGUGUGUCUAUAUAUACAUAAAUUGUGCUUUUUACAAUUUAUAAUCAGAUUGCUCUUUAAUCAAAAAAGGAAGAUGAGUCUAUCCUUACUCUUAACAAGCCCUGUACAUGUAUUUUGAUUUAUUUUGUGACGUGUCAACCAAAACUGUAGAUAUUAAGCACUGUACGUGACCUGUAAAAUAUAAUAAGCCUAUUUAGAAUAGUGCAGCACUCUAGUCCAGUAAAAUAAAAUGGACCUUUGUUUCA
Hippocampus comes (tiger tail seahorse) is the source of this 2121-nucleotide long non-coding RNA. RefSeq lists it as uncharacterized. The transcript is spliced from 5 exons. NCBI's taxonomy places the organism in Eukaryota, Metazoa, Chordata, Actinopteri, Syngnathiformes, Syngnathidae. The record is from RefSeq and is a predicted model, not a curated record.